GACGAACGCUGGCGGCGUGCUUAACACAUGCAAGUCGAACGGUGAACCUCUUCGGGGGGGAUCAGUGGCGAACGGGUGAGUAACACGUGGGCAACCUGCCCCCGGCUCUGGGAUAACUCCAAGAAAUUGGGGCUAAUACCGGAUGUUCACCGCUUCCCGCAUGGGUGGUGGUGGAAAGGGGUUCCGGCUGGGGAUGGGCCCGCGGCCUAUCAGCUUGUUGGUGGGGUAGUGGCCUACCAAGGCGACGACGGGUAGCCGGCCUGAGAGGGUGACCGGCCACACUGGGACUGAGACACGGCCCAGACUCCUACGGGAGGCAGCAGUGGGGAAUAUUGCGCAAUGGGCGGAAGCCUGACGCAGCGACGCUGCGUGGGGGAUGACGGCCUUCGGGUUGUAAACCUCUUUCAGCAGGGACGAAGCGCAAGUGACGGUACCUGCAGAAGAAGCACCGGCCAACUACGUG
This 463-nucleotide ribosomal RNA is filed under the name uncultured bacterium. Its description in RNAcentral is "partial 16S ribosomal RNA". It matches the Rfam family "Bacterial small subunit ribosomal RNA", at positions 28 to 507 of the family's 1533-position model. The record is from RNAcentral.